RNAcentral lists this ribosomal RNA (696 nucleotides) under uncultured Arcobacter sp. RNAcentral describes it as "bacterial SSU rRNA". It matches the Rfam family "Bacterial small subunit ribosomal RNA", at positions 56 to 763 of the family's 1533-position model. Lineage: Bacteria; Pseudomonadati; Campylobacterota; Epsilonproteobacteria; Campylobacterales; Arcobacteraceae. The record is from RNAcentral.
UGCGGGUCGAACGAGAACGGAUAUUAGCUUGCUAAUAUUGUCAGCUAAGUGGCGCACGGGUGAGUAAUAUAUAGUUAAUCUGCCCCAAAGAAGAGAAUAAUUGUUGGAAACGACUUGUAACGCUCUAUAUGCCUUUAUUACAUAAGUAAGCAAGGGAAACAUUUAUGGCUUUGGGAUGAGACUGUACGGUAUCAGCUAGUUGGUGAGGUAAUGGCUCACCAAGGCUAUGACAUCUAACUGGUUUGAGAGGAUGAUCAGUCACACUGGAACUGAGACACGGUCCAGACUCCUACGGGAGGCAGCAGUGGGGAAUAUUGCACAAUGGAGGAAACUCUGAUGCAGCAACGCCGCGUGGAGGAUGACACAUUUCGGUGCGUAAACUCCUUUUAUAUGAGAAGAUAAUGACGGUAUCAUAUGAAUAAGCACCGGCUAACUCCGUGCCAGCAGCCGCGGUAAUACGGGGGGUGCAAGCGUUACUCGGAAUCACUGGGCGCAAAGAGCAUGUAGGCUGGUUUGUAAGUUGGAAGUGAAGUCCUAUGGCUUAACCAUAGAACUGCUUCCAAAACUGCAGACCUAGAAUAUGGGAGAGGUAGAUGGAAUUUCUGGUGUAGGGGUAAAAUCCGUAGAGAUCAGAAGGAAUACCGAUUGCGAAGGCGAUCUACUGGAGCAUUAUUGACGCUGAGAUGCGAAAGCGUG